RNAcentral lists this transfer RNA (85 nucleotides) under Fidelibacterota bacterium. Its description in RNAcentral is "tRNA-Leu". It matches the Rfam family "tRNA". Rfam says of the family: Transfer RNA (tRNA) molecules are approximately 80 nucleotides in length. The record is from RNAcentral. RNAcentral also lists the same sequence under 3 other names. Lineage: Bacteria; Pseudomonadati; Fidelibacterota.
GCCGGGGUGGCGAAACUGGUAGACGCAAGGGACUUAAAAUCCCUCGGUCGUUUAGACCAUGCGGGUUCGAGUCCCGCCCCCGGCA